GGCAGAACAACAGAUUUGUACCUUGUCAACUCAGGGAUUUGAGCUUGCAACCUUUCGGUUAUUAAUCCAAUUCUCUAACCACUAGGCUACGCUGCCGCCCCGGCCAGAGGAAGAGCUGUCAUUCAUUGAAGAGGAACCCUGUCUGGAUGGAUGGUGGAAGUUUGGCACCAGCUGUUAUUAUGUCUCCUCCAGGAUGGAAACAGCUGGGGGCAGUCAGAGAAAGUGCAGAACAAUGUGUGCUGCCUUGGUUAUUAUAAACAGCAGAGAAGAACAGGGUUAAUACGGAAUCUGGGAGUGGGUUGGCAAAACACCAUUUAACCUCUACCUAUUGGAUGGAAGGGGAACCAAAUAACUUGAAUGACAAGGUGGCUUGUGUUGAGAUCUCACAGACGGCAUCAGACCCAUUGAAGAAUUGGAAGGAUGGACCAUGUGCUCCUCGAAAAUACUGUGUGUGUGAAAAACCAUUCACACUGUAGUCCAAUUGCAAUAGCAAAUGUAAUUCCCUAUCUUAUAGAGUUGAACUGGUUUUCACUGUGUUAGGCUGAACCUCUUUUUGUUUCUAUUUGUAACUACAUUGAAAGACGUAUUUGAUGUCUUUAAAGAGACCAUGUCUAUGUGGAGUUUGUCCACCAUUCAUCAGGCCCAGGGGAGUGGAACUGUGGAUUCAUAGUCUCUAACUGUGGUUUACAUAUUAUUAUUUUUUACCAUAAUUUACUAUUAUGUUUUUUAAAUGUACCAUUGUGGUGUGCAUAUAAAAAAAUAUCAUUGAAGUUUUUACAGUUAUCAACCCAUUUCAAAUGCAGCAGUGUUCUAUAUUUGUGUCCAUUCUGUUCCAUAUGUAUCAUGUGUUCAUUCUACUGACUAAAUACAUCUAUAUACUGUGAUCCAGAUAUACUGUAUUACUAAGUGUUGUAAUGUACUAAUAGUAACU
RNAcentral lists this long non-coding RNA (931 nucleotides) under Salmo salar (Atlantic salmon). RNAcentral's name for it is "lncRNA (ENSSSAG00000083561.1)". Lineage: Eukaryota; Metazoa; Chordata; Actinopteri; Salmoniformes; Salmonidae. The record is from RNAcentral.